GAGUUUGAUCAUGGCUCAGAUUGAACGCUGGCGGCAUGCCUUACACAUGCAAGUCGAACGGUAACAGGUCUUCGGAUGCUGACGAGUGGCGAACGGGUGAGUAAUACAUCGGAACGUGCCCGAUCGUGGGGGGAUAACGAAGCGAAAGCUUUGCUAAUACCGCAUACGAUCUACGGAUGAAAGCAGGGGACCGCAAGGCCUUGCGCGAACGGAGCGGCCGAUGGCAGAUUAGGUAGUUGGUGGGAUAAAAGCUUACCAAGCCGACGAUCUGUAGCUGGUCUGAGAGGACGACCAGCCACACUGGGACUGAGGCACGGCCCAGACUCCUACGGGAGGCAGCAGUGGGGAAUUUUGGACAAUGGGCGAAAGCCUGAUCCAGCCAUGCCGCGUGCAGGAUGAAGGCCUCGGUUGUAAC
RNAcentral lists this ribosomal RNA (415 nucleotides) under uncultured microorganism. Its description in RNAcentral is "bacterial SSU rRNA". It matches the Rfam family "Bacterial small subunit ribosomal RNA", at positions 9 to 429 of the family's 1533-position model. The record is from RNAcentral.